This 1174-nucleotide long non-coding RNA is filed under the name Piliocolobus tephrosceles (Ugandan red Colobus). RNAcentral's name for it is "lncRNA (ENSPTEG00000004675.1)". Lineage: Eukaryota; Metazoa; Chordata; Mammalia; Primates; Cercopithecidae. The record is from RNAcentral.
CUCUGAGGCCGUGGCAGGGCACAGAUCAUGAAGAACAGUUGAUCCCAGACCAAAGCCCACAUAGAACUGAGGAUGUGUAAAGGGUAUAUGACUGGCUCACUCCUUGGUUUAAAGCCACUUUAAUCUAGGACGUUGGGGAAACCAGAGAGCAUGUCGAUUCCAUUAAGGAAAGAAGAGAAAUGCUUAUGGAAACAGUACCACCUGCAUAUCCAUUGGCCUCCCCUUCCCGACCUCCACCCUGCUGUUACCCAUCAGUCAUCUGAAAGGAAGAUCCCACAGAGUUGACAGAGUCCUUUACAGAGAAGAUCGUCAUAUGCUCUCCGUAGGUUACCUGUCUAUUUAAGAAGCAAACCUCUCGUCACCUGCUGCGGAGCAUCUCGAUGUUAGAAACCACACCACUAUUUUUAGUGUGUGUCCUUGUGCUUCUGCACGAUGAGUCAGGGUUCUCUUUUUAAAAAUACUUGGCAUUCCUCAGAAGAAAGAUAAACACAUUUAAUGUUCUCAGUUGCUACUAUUCUAAUCACCAAGUCAAGAGUUGCUUCUUUUCUUAGCUGCCUCCAGUGCCACAGAACUAUCUGGGCCUCUUCCUCUACCCCGCCUCGUGUGAUCACUCCUUUCAAAAGCAGCAGCCAAAGCAGAUGCGAGGGAGAUGCACUGGUGCUCAUAAAUUCAAGGAGCUAAAAUGGCAACAGCUGUGGCAAUUUCAGGAUUUCAGCAGGUAAUCAAGUGCAAACUGGGGUGCUGUCAAGCAACCUGGUGCUGAGGGGGCAGAGCCAGGAUGGACCCGGAUUCUGGAUUUCCACCAUGUGCCUGGUGGAUACCAUGCGGAUGUGGAGCAGGCAAUGCUGGGUGCAAAUCCCCGCCAGGAACUGUUCAUCCUGAAAAAAACCUGCUGCACAUUGCCCUGGUCACCUCAACGAAAAAUCCUGCCUGGAGGAGCAGGGUGCCCUGCCCUAUCUGCACUGGACACUUGGGACCACAGCCGCUGCCCUGUGAGGAACAUGGCAUCUUAACCAGUAAUCACAAGCAGAAAAUGCUUUCAAAGUGGAGUGACAGGCAGCUGCAUUAGGUAAGCUUCAAGUUCUAAAGUCCCGUGACUAACACCCCUCCUGGUUUCUGCAGACUGUUGAAUAUAAAAGGUUUCUAUUAUGCAAACUACCAAAAUUAUAGGAUC